UUAUUUCAUACACACAGGGCUGAAAGUGUCGUAUUUCAAAAUUAAAAUUUUCUAGUACACAGGAAGAAAAUGAUUGGAAACAAGAGGGCCUCUUAGGCAUAUUGAGGUGCAGUUGGGAACACUGAAGAGAUGAACUCCAUAUUCAAGUUACCCCGGAGUCAGCAAACAUGCUGCUACAGCAAUACCGUCACUGGUAUUAUCAAGUUAUGGAAGGUAAUAGGGUUCCUGACCAUCCAACUCCCCUCACCAGAAACUAUUCAGAUGAUCUUUUGUCGCACUUUGGAGAAGCUAGUUUGCACAGGACUGUGCUGAAAAUGGAAACCAAGACGCCAAAAGUAAAGCAUUAAAAAUGUACAAAUUAUUA
Molecule: long non-coding RNA, 364 nt
Organism: Rhincodon typus (whale shark)
Lineage: Eukaryota; Metazoa; Chordata; Chondrichthyes; Orectolobiformes; Rhincodontidae
Exons: 3
Source: RefSeq, a predicted model, not a curated record